GGUAAAACCUUCCUACAAGUUGUUCUUAAAGAUGACGCCGUUGACUAUAAUAUACUGUUGAGCUUACAAAGACAGGCAAGCAAGGAAGAAACAAGAUGCAGAACCUGAUGAUGACAGAAUGUGGAGGAAAGGUAAAAGACUGUGUUUGCCACGAGUGUUGUACCCCAUGAUGGCCCAGAUUACCCAUGGACCUACACAUCUAUCCAAGAUGCACAUGAACAGCAUAGUAAACACCCAUUGGGUAGCACCCGGAUUUACUGUUGUAGCAGCUAAACACACCCAAGCUUGCAUGAUUUGUGCUAGAAACAAUCCAGGACAGGCUGUCAAAACACCAAGUAAGCACACACCAAGGCCACUUUACCCGUUUCAAAGACUGCAGAUAGACUAUAUUCAACUACCUAAGGUAGGAGUGUAUGAAUAUGUGUUGGUG
Molecule: non-coding RNA, 430 nt
Organism: Pelobates cultripes (western spadefoot toad)
Lineage: Eukaryota; Metazoa; Chordata; Amphibia; Anura; Pelobatidae
Source: the annotation of a GenBank genome assembly